Molecule: long non-coding RNA, 2534 nt
Filed under: Mus musculus (house mouse)
Lineage: Eukaryota; Metazoa; Chordata; Mammalia; Rodentia; Muridae
Description: predicted gene, 35853
Source: RNAcentral
UUCAUUAAGCUCCUGCCUGGGUUCACACAGGCACCAUGGCUCCUCCAGAAUCUCCUCUUCUCUCUGUGAGGGAAGCUAGCUGUCGUAACACGGGGAUGGUGGGCAGCCAGUGGCGUGAUCUACUUGUGGGAGGCCUAGGACCCAACGCCUCUUGCUAGUGCCCACAUGGAGAGCCUUCUCAGCCAUGUUCCUGUCAGGUGGCCAGCACCCUGAUCAUAACCUCCAAGAAGCCAGAGCCUGAAGCCAGCCAGCUGGGCUGCUCACAGUUCCUACCACAGAAACUGAAAAGUGUCUAUUGUGGUGGGUGGCUAAGUUUUGGGAUACUUGGUGACACAGUAAAGGGAUAAUGUUUGGAGGGUCAGCAAGAGCCAGCUCUAGGAAGCCCUGCAGGCCCUUCAGUUUGGUUUCCAGUUCAGUUCUUCGGAGACACUCAGCAUCCAGGUCCUGGAGUUGGGAGUGGAGGUUGGCCUCCAGCUGUCCCCGCUCUUGGCUCACUUUACGAAGCUCCUCCUGCAGCCGGCCCUGGAAUGUCUCAUAAUGGUGGCUGAGGUCGAAGGUGGCUGAUCCCUGGCCCUGCAGGAAGCUCCAUCGGGUCUCCAGCAGUUGGUUGCGUUGCUCCAGAGCUUGGACCUGCAAGAGCAGGAGGGUACUGAGUGACCCCUGUGAAAGGACCGUUAGACUAGGAUCUCGACCUGCAGGUGGAGAGACACUGCAUAGGGAGAUCAGUAUUUGGAGAGACUCCUGAUUCAGAAGUUGAAGUGGCUGAGGUCAGAGAGCCAUCGGUGACCUGGUGCGUGUUCUCCAAGGCCAACAUUAUGACCACCAUGAAGAGCUCGAACUGCAGGUUCUCUUUGUGCCGCUCUUGAGAAGAACUUCAAGUUGGGGUUGGAGUUGACCCAGGCCCCUCUGCACCCAGGGGGAUAGAACUUGAAGCUGGUCUUGGUGCUGUAGCUGAGCUCCAGCAGAGAAUGCUUCCAUGAGGGACCGGUGAACUCCUGCAGGCUGCUGAAGGGCUCUCACUUUCUGCUCGCCAUUUGCCCAUUUUAUAUCAAGGUGGUCAGCAACAGAAAGUAGGGGAACCAUGCUUUGUAUAAGUAGUUCCAAGAACAUUCAGCAAGUACAUGCGAAGUGCCAGGAUUCUGAUAACCGGAAAGUCUUGUGAAAUUGGGAAUAAAAAUAAGGAAGGUGGUGUCCCAGAUGCCAACCUUGGGACCUUUACUGGGAGAGGCUAGGAAUGUCUAACACAUGACAGAUGUGUCAUUGAUCAGCUGCUAAGGUGACAUCUCCAUUAUUGGAUCUUUGUAAGGGAUUCUGAGCUGGAGUACACUGGAUUGUUCUGUUUCUCAGUACUUAAGCCCCAUGGGUCAGACACUGCUGAGGCCCACUUUACAGAUUGAUAAGUGGAGUCUCACAGAGGUCAGUUACAAGGACAUGCAGCUGGGAUGAGGCUGUUCCUCUGGAGAGCUGUGCAGCUUCCCCUGAGGCGACUGAGCUCUUAGGGUGGAACACCAUGAGGAGAGAGACUAGAGAAAGUCCACACAUGGAAUGGUCAGCUGUGGGGAGUGAGGGAAGACCUAAGUGGAUAAAAUCCAGAGUGGAUGUGUGCUGUUGUCAUGGGCACCACCACGUCGAGGACCCUGAUAUCUGAGACCCAUGGGAAAUAUUAAAACCACCAUCAGGCUAGGUUGUAGGCAAAGUCUUCCCUUCAGUGUAUGCAAAAAACGAGCACCCUAGCUUCUUCUGCCUCCCAGGUACUUACAGCCCGAAGACUGCUCACCAACAGAGACUGCCCCUACAGCUUAGCUGACCCCGCCUUCCUGUUCAGCUCUACCAAUGACCCAGUGUCCCCAUUCAACUGUUCUAAUAAUCAUGCUGAGCUUCCGGGGUGCCUCACGUCUUCAUCGAGGAGCCCCGAACACCCAGUGCCAAUAUUUCUGCCUCUGUAUGUUUGUCUUUUCUUUAUUUCCUCAGUAACCCAGGCAAGCAAAUCCCUGGAGCUGUACUGGAGAAGGCGGAUGCGUCUGCCAGAAGCUGACCUAGAUAGAUGCUCUAGAGCCUGACUUGGCCUGCACCACCCACGGGGGACAUCUGGAUAUAUGUGUGCUCACUGCCCUCAGCUCAUCUUCCUUGUCUCCUGUGCUCUGCCAAGUCUCUUAGGAGCAUUCCUUUGGCCCCUGCUUCCUCGAUUUGCACAAGUCUCUCUCAUUUCAGAUCCCUUUCACACACCUGCCUCUCAUGUGUCAUUCUGUGUGCAUAGGUCUCACCUGUUGUAAAUAGGCCUUUCUUUAAGCUUGCUUACUGCUUUAAGACAACUUUUCUAUCAUUUUCCCUUUCUUCCAAAGGGUCCUUCUGGAGCUGGAGCUGGAGCUGGCUCAGUGGGUAAAGAUGCUGAAACCAAGUCUAGCUAACUGUGUUUGACCCCCCGAAACCCACAUGGUGGAUGGAGGGAGCUGACUCUAAGCUGCCUUCUGACCUUCACAUGCGCACCGUGUAGCAUAUCCUCUGUUGCUGCACACUUACAAUAAUAAAUAAAU